UGGACAAGUGGAACAGACAGGCUGG
Molecule: non-coding RNA, 25 nt
Filed under: Rattus norvegicus (Norway rat)
Lineage: Eukaryota; Metazoa; Chordata; Mammalia; Rodentia; Muridae
Source: RNAcentral